GGGGAUGGAACAGGAAGGGAGAGAGAAAGUGGUGGUGUGAGGUGAGGUGGAAAGGGAUAGCGGGGUGUAGCUUCCAUGUGUUACCCUUAUUGGCCACCAGGAGAGAUUGCUAGAAUAGGUAGUCUCUCUCUCUCUCUCUCUCUCUCUCUCUCUCACACACACACACACACGUCUUGGAUUUAUGUUCCGUGGCGAAUCUGGCAAUGUAACGGUUCAGUGUAAGACUCGAGUCAGCGCGGGUUAGUGUCACGUGAAAAUAAAGGCCAUUGAAUAUAAGUACGUCCCCUGGAGACCUUAUAAUUACAUCUGAUCCUUGAUUCAUUUAUUCUCCUGCACACUAAAGAAUGCUAUAGAUAUUUCCCGCACUGUGAGACCGUGGACAUUUGGCUCAGCUGCGUGAAGAAUACUCGAAACAAUGAACCUCCGAACUGAGAUACUGAAUCUGUAACUCUCGGCCGCCUUAGUCCUGCUCGCCUCGCCACUGCCGCGUGGUUACGUCAAGACAGCGGGCCGCGUACUAGUUUCCUUAGUACUUGUGCUUCCGUGUCAAUACCGUGUGCUGUAAACUUCUGAACGAACUGAGAUACUCAUUCAGUUUUGGUCGCCUCUCCAUUAUCUCGUGGUGACGUAAAGGUGACGACCCGUGUGUUAGUUUCCCCGGUAAUUGUGCCUCCGUAACAUUACUGUGUGCAGUGGUCAUGAGAACUGCGAGGCGGCGGUGUAGACUGUGCCGUGGAGAGCUGCGGGGUGUUGGAAUCGCCUGUCAGUCACCUUGAAGGCGUCAUAUUCCCUCCCUGCUCUUCCCCGUGUCUUCUUGUCGAUGUUGACAGGACCUGCGGGAGGGUGAAGAGCGCAAGGAGUUGACUGAUCCCAGCAUGUGGACGUGCCUGAAGCCUGACCCGAGCGGGGCGCGUCUCACUCUUGACCCAGCGCAAGGCUCCGACACCGCCACCUACAAGUGCCGGGUGGACUUUGAAAUGUCGUCCACCCGCUCCACCCUCGUCACCCUCACUGUGUACGCCUGUGCGUUGAGCGGCAGGAGGCGGCGAGGCGUGACAUAGCGACGCCUGAUGACCCGUGGCACGAAUGGCAACGUGGUGAAUGGCAGUGGCAGUAGGGGCAUGGGAGGGGGCGAGGGGCCUGGGAGGUGAUUUGCUCCUCCGCUCAUCGCCAAGUUAUCGGAAACGUGUGCCGGAGACGUAUGGCUUUAAGAUACUCCAGCUAGAGAUGCGAUAUGAAGCAGAAUAUAUUGCCCCGCCAGCCGGCCAGGAUGUCAAUAGAUGCGCCGCCAAACCCUCAAGAUUCCUCACUAAUAUUAUGUGAAGACGCUGGCCAGCUGAGGCGUGGGAGAGUGUGAGGCAGAGGGAGGGUCUCUGCCACCGCCCACCACAGACCUCAUUUCAUCUUCCACACCAAGACAGUUUGUUUAUUCAUAUGUCUGGCUGUGAUCACUACCGGGAUUUGUAAUAGAUGGCAUCUGGAGCUUCCACAUCUUCCUCCCUUACUUUUAGUGGGUGCAAGUGUAGCAAACUCGCGCAAUUGUGUCCUUGACUUGCUUCUGCUUGGGAGGAAGAUAUGAAGGGAAACUUUGUGCACGAACGUAUUCCAAUCUUGCUUCUUUUAUCCUUGCUGUGUUCUAGGAGUGCGUACGUUGCAAAUAUAAAUAGGUGACACACAACAAACAUUCCUGAGGCCCCAAACUAAUCAAUGCAUAAUAUAGUACUGUAUAUGAUAUUUUUAUUUAUUUUUUUUAUAAAAUAUACUAGUAGAUGAAGUUAACGCAUCCCUGUUUGUCAGAAGGCACCGAUGGUCAGCUGUGUGGCCGAGGCGUUCUUGAUUUACGCAGCACAAUGCUACAUAAUUUAAGUGCUGUCUCUCUCUUAGGCGAAAUCGCUCAUAACAAGUAAAAUAAAAAUAAAAGUUUUGGUCGCCUUAACUUAAUUUUUACUUUUCUUUCCUGAAAUGAGGAUAAGGAAAGAUACUCGAGUUGCUUGAACACUCUUAAGACCGUGCCAGCAUUUGAAGACACUUUAAUGUCUCCCCUGAGCAGCGUUUCUCUAAAAAGAAAAUAAUACAUUUUUCCGCUGCGUUAAUCUCUCCUCUUUUGGACCCGGGCGGUGCAGGUGAAGAGCGAGGCCGGAAUAAAGGCAGAAUAGACCUGGAAUACUUACUGUUGCCGCGAGAGGUAAUUUUUGACUCAGUUUCCCCACCACUUUAAUGCCUCGACUCCAGGGUGAUUUUAAUGGUUUUCGUUUUGUUUCGCUACAUUGCUUUGUACUCUUUUAUCUUUCAUCCGCCACAUUUGUUAGGUUAAUGAUUGUUGGGGAUUCC
Scylla paramamosain (green mud crab) is the source of this 2331-nucleotide long non-coding RNA. RefSeq lists it as uncharacterized. The transcript is spliced from 3 exons. The record is from RefSeq and is a predicted model, not a curated record. Lineage: Eukaryota; Metazoa; Arthropoda; Malacostraca; Decapoda; Portunidae.